GACCGCUGUCGGAGACUCCCCUUUAACCUGGGAGAGAACUUUCACUUUGCUGAAUUGAGAGUCUGAGUUAGCCCAGACGAGCUCCUUACUCCAUUUCAAAUACGCAUUGACUUAAUCCAGCUGGAACACAGCCUGGGACAUGGAGGGGGCUCUGUGGGGCCUUCCAAACUAGAUAAAUGUAAUAACUAAGAGACCUCUCACGAACCCAUCAGCCUCUCCAGGCCCCUAUCGAAACCCAAUAACUCGUGCUCCUGUCUGUGCCCGUCUUCUCUGGUCAGUCAUCUCUGGUUUGAGGGAAGAUACCCUGCCUCUCUGGGGAUAACUGCAGUCUGGAUAUGGAGACCAAGAAUUCCUCAGGAGGAAAGGGGAAGUGAGAGCCCCAGAGAUCAACUCAAGACCAGUUCUGGGGGCUGUGCAAAGACAGAACAACCCUCCAGGGUAGGCAUAUCUACCAUUCGCAAAUGGGGACAAAGAGAUCCCACCAUAACUGACUAACAGGAAAAUAGGCUCAUGGAUUGACAUUAUCACCAUAAACCAGCACUUGGAUAAUUCAGCCUAUCACAGGCCCUGGUACUUGUCCAAAAAAAUUCAACCCAAAGUAAAGAUUUCUAUGGAGGAAAAUGCUAAUGCACAAACAGGACUACUGCUCUAGGAGAUAUUGAUAUGGAAAAUUAUUCAUCCAUUCUGCAACCUCAUGACUCCCAUGAACUUGAGGAUGAUAGAUACAGAGUGGGAUUCAGACAAGUAUUUUUAUAAAUGGAUCUCAAACAGCACCAUAGGCCUUUGAUAAGGUACAUUGGAUUGAGGUGAUUCCAGUCUUAAAUUUCACUAAUUCUAAUGCAUCUGUAAACAAGUCAGAUUUGUAAAUAGUGCCACUGGUUCUAUAAGGAAUAUGACACAUCAACUGGCCUUGUUCAUAAUAAGACUGUUAGGGUGGUAGCCAGUGAGCUGCUUUACUUUUCAUGUAUAGUUCUUUUUAUAGGUUAACAGCUGAUACUCCUCCUUCUUACAAGAACUAACCCAACCAAAUAAAUUUCUAACCAUGAGCAUGCCACAAAUACACUGACCUUAGCAUAACAGCCUGCCCCAGUCAUCAGUUCUGUUGUCAA
Long non-coding RNA from Phyllostomus discolor (pale spear-nosed bat), 1109 nucleotides. RefSeq lists it as uncharacterized. The record is from RefSeq and is a predicted model, not a curated record. Lineage: Eukaryota; Metazoa; Chordata; Mammalia; Chiroptera; Phyllostomidae. The transcript is spliced from 4 exons.